GACUUACUAAACAGUGACAAUAGAUACUACCUUUUCUUUUAUAUAUAUAUAUAUAUAGUCCGGCUACUAUACUCUUAUUAGUAUGAUCACUUUCGUACUCAUAAGUCGUUUUCGAUAAUAGAAUUUUCUAAUCGACGAUCCAUACCAUUAAAUAUUUUAUAGAAUAUUUAAAAUUUCUAGAAAUCAAAUUUCAUAAUUUUUCGACAUCAUUUACCUUAUAAUCAAAAGCUCACAAAAUUGACAAUUUUUUACGACCGGUAUGAAAUACUUACUACUUUAACGGUGCAAAAGAAUUGGAAUAGGUUGAUUUUUUGAUAGAAAAUUCUAUUCACUAACUAGAUAAAGAUCAAUAACUCCGAUCUUAAAUUGAAGAAUCCGAUCAUCCAUUUUUAAGACGUUCGAUUUUGACCGUUCAUUUUAUGCCCGCUUGAUGGACUUUAUUAUGAUUUCGAAAAAUUACGAAAUUUAUUUUCUAGAAGUUUCAAAUACUCUAGAUCAUAUUUAAUAGAGUGGAUCAUCGAUUUUGAAGCUCCAUCAUCAAAAACAACUUAUAAGUACGAAGGGCCCAAUACCCAUAAGAGUAUAGUAGCCAUACUAUAUAUAUAUAUAUAUAUAUAUAUAGAAUUAGGCUGAAAUACUAUCAAUAACAUCAAACUAUUGGUGCUAUUGAUUUUUUAACCCUUGAAUUGAAAAAUGUGCGGUUAAGAUGAUGUGGGCCCUUUAGGGUUAAGUGGGUGGUUGGUUGAAUAGUACAAUUUAACGGGUAAAAAUAAUCAAAGAGUUAAAUCUAACGAUGAAAAACUCGAUAGCACUAAAUCCUUGGUGCUAUCGAUAGUAUACCAGUCGAACUCUCUCUCUCUCUCUCUAUAUAUAUAUAUAUAGAGAGAGAGCUAAGCUGGUAUACUAUCGGUAGUACGGAGGCCUUCGUUCUAUCAAGUUGUUUUCAAUGAUGCGGCUUCUAAAUCGACGAUCGGUUCCGUUAGACUUAAUUUAUAUUAUUAAAAAUAUUUAAAAAUUAAAUUUUAUAAUUUUUCGAUAUUAUUUCAUAAAAGUAUUUAUAAAAUAAAAAAAUAAAAUUCAAUACUAUAGUAAUGCUCAAAAUAAUAAAAUUUAUCCUUAUUAACA
RNAcentral lists this long non-coding RNA (1125 nucleotides) under Ananas comosus (pineapple). RNAcentral's name for it is "long non-coding RNA (ACOM_LNC008814)". Lineage: Eukaryota; Viridiplantae; Streptophyta; Magnoliopsida; Poales; Bromeliaceae. The record is from RNAcentral.